AAGUCGUAACAAGGUUUCCGUAGGUGAACCUGCGGAAGGAUCAUUACAGAGGUUUAUCCUUAUUCUGUGAAUUUUAUAUCUGGUGUGUAUGUUUGUGAGUGCGAGCGAGUGCGGAGCACGAGUCGAUAUCAAUUGUGAAAGCGAUGAGUCGAACCACCCGUUCGACACCAAACAUAUGCACCAAACACUUUAUAUCAAUUUUUGUCUGAAGAAAAGAAAUGAAAAA
This 226-nucleotide unclassified non-coding RNA is filed under the name plant metagenome. RNAcentral describes it as "partial contains small subunit ribosomal RNA and internal transcribed spacer 1". The stretch from base 1 to 46 matches the Rfam family "Eukaryotic small subunit ribosomal RNA", at positions 1786 to 1831 of the family's 1831-position model. The record is from RNAcentral.